AGAGUUUGAUCAUGGCUCAGAACGAACGUUGGCGGCGUGCUUAACACAUGCAAGUCGAACGAGAAAGUUUUCUUCGGAGAACGAGUAAAGUGGCGCACGGGUGAGUAACGCGUAAGUAAUCUACCCUUGCAUUUGGAAUAACUACGGGAAGCUGUAGCUAAUACCAGAUACGUUCAUAGAGUUACGACUCUAUGAAGAAAGAUGACCUCUUCUUGAAAGUUAUCGUGCAGGGAGGAGCUUGCGUACCAUUAGCUAGUUGGUAGGGUAAAGGCCUACCAAGGCAACGAUGGUUAGCGGGUCUGAGAGGAUGAUCCGCCACACUGGAACUGAAACACGGACCAGACUCCUACGGGAGGCAGCAGUGAGGAAUAUUGCGCAAUGGGGGAAACCCUGACGCAGCGACGCCGCGUGGAUGAUGAAGGCCUUCGGGUCGUAAAAUCCUGUCAGAUGGGAAGAAAUGUAUGAGGGAACAAUACCCCUUGUGCUUGACGGUACCAUCAAAGGAAGCACCGGCUAACUCCGUGCCAGCAGCCGCGGUAAUACGGAGGGUGCAAACGUUGUUCGGAAUUACUGGGCGUAAAGCGCGCGUAGGCGGUUUGUUAAGUCAGAUGUGAAAGUCCACAGCUCAACUGUGGAAGUGCAUUUGAAACUGGCAGACUUGAGUACUGGAGGGGGUGAUGGAAUUCCCGGUGUAGAGGUGAAAUUCGUAGAUAUCGGGAGGAAUACCGGUGGCNAAAGGNNAUCACCUGGNCNGAUACUGACGCUGAGGUGCGAAAGCGUGGGGAGCAAACAGGAUUAGAUACCCUGNA
RNAcentral lists this ribosomal RNA (809 nucleotides) under uncultured bacterium. RNAcentral describes it as "bacterial SSU rRNA". It matches the Rfam family "Bacterial small subunit ribosomal RNA", at positions 8 to 791 of the family's 1533-position model. The record is from RNAcentral.